GAUGAACGCUAGCUACAGGCUUAACACAUGCAAGUCGAGGGGAAACGAUAGAGAAAGCUUGCUUUUUCUAGGCGUCGACCGGCGCACGGGUGAGUAACGCGUAUCCAACCUGCCCAUCACUUGGGGAUAACCUUGUGAAAGUAAGACUAAUACCCAAUGACGUCUCUAGAAGACAUCUGAAAGAGAUUAAAGAUUUAUCGGUGAUGGAUGGGGAUGCGUCUGAUUAGCUUGUUGGCGGGGUAACGGCCCACCAAGGCGACGAUCAGUAGCCGGUCUGAGAGGAUGAACGGCCACACUGGAACUGAGACACGGUCCAGACUCCUACGGGAGGCAGCAGUGGGGAAUCUUCCGCAAUGGGCGAAAGCCUGACGGAGCAACGCCGCGUGAGUGAUGACGGCCUCGGUUGGUAACUUCUUUAAGUAGGGAAGAGGACAGAAGACGGUACCGUCUAGAAUAAGACCACGGCUAACUACGUAG
This 477-nucleotide ribosomal RNA is filed under the name uncultured bacterium. Its description in RNAcentral is "bacterial SSU rRNA". It matches the Rfam family "Bacterial small subunit ribosomal RNA", at positions 28 to 508 of the family's 1533-position model. The record is from RNAcentral.